Molecule: ribosomal RNA, 373 nt
Filed under: uncultured organism
Description: partial 16S ribosomal RNA
Rfam family: Bacterial small subunit ribosomal RNA
Source: RNAcentral
AGAGGGUGCGAGCGUUAAUCGGAAUUACUGGGGCGUAAAGCGUACGUAGGCGGUUAAUUAAGUCAGUUGUGAAAUCCCAGGGGCUCAACCUUGGGAACUGCAAUUGAAACUGUUUAACUAGAGUCGAAGAGAGGGGAGCGGAAUUUCCGGUGUAGCGGUGAAAUGCGUAGAUAUCGGAAGGAACACCAGUGGCGAAGGCGGCUCUCUGGCUUCAGACUGACGCUGAGGUACGAAAGCGUGGGUAGCGAACAGGAUUGGAUACCCUGGUAGUCCACGCUGUAAACGAUGAGUACUAGCUGUUGUGAGGCAUAGCUUUGCAGUAGCGCAGCUAACGCAUUAAGUACUCCGCCUGGGGAUUACGGCCGCAAGGCUA